This 75-nucleotide transfer RNA is filed under the name Picochlorum sp. 'soloecismus'. Its description in RNAcentral is "tRNA-His". It matches the Rfam family "tRNA". From Rfam's summary of the family: Transfer RNA (tRNA) molecules are approximately 80 nucleotides in length. Lineage: Eukaryota; Viridiplantae; Chlorophyta; Trebouxiophyceae. The record is from RNAcentral.
GGUGAAUAUAACUUAGUCGGUGAAAGUGUCAGACUGUGACUCUGAAAACACGGGUUCAAAUCCCGUUAUUUGCCU